Molecule: long non-coding RNA, 1530 nt
Organism: Brassica napus (rape)
Lineage: Eukaryota; Viridiplantae; Streptophyta; Magnoliopsida; Brassicales; Brassicaceae
Exons: 6
Source: RefSeq, a predicted model, not a curated record
CACCUCUUCGUUUUCUCCGAUAUGAAACCUGAAGAAUUGAAAACAUUUGGAUUUAAAAGAAAAGAUUUGACAGUCUAAUCUCAAUCGCAUAAAGUAAAUCAAACCAAACUUCACACAUCUUUCUCUCCGUUCGCCGUCACACAUCUUUCUCUCCGUUCGCCGUCACACAUCUUUCUCUCCGUUCGCCGUCGUCGCUCAUCUGAGAUCUCUCUCUUUACUCACCAAAGAUGCAUUCGAGCCAUCUCCUUCUCGAGGAGCCAAUCAGGAUGGCUUCAAUCCUCAAGCCAUCCAAAUCCGUAAGCGAUCCAUUGAUCCAUAUUCGUAAGAGUUAUCUCUAAUCUCUCUCUCUCUCUCUCUCUCUCUCUCUCUCUCUCUCUCUCUCUCUCUCUCUCUCUCUUUUGAUGUCAUCAGAGUUUCUUUCCGGAAGCUUUGGCAACAAAAUCCAACUGAAAGUCCCAUGUCUCCACGGUUAAAGUGCCGUAGCGAUUGCUGUAAGGUGUGAAGAUAAAUGUCUGUCGAAUAUGAUCUCUGAAUGAAAUCAUGAAGAAGUGUCAGUAUGCCGUAAGUGGUGAGUUUUCCCUAGAAGGAACAUUAUCUUCCCUACCCUCGCAUCUCUAAAAAGCCAUCAGGAUGAAUCACUACUCUGCAUAUACUGAGGAGUCUGGACAAUUAUAUGGGACUGCUUUGGCGUAGGACCUGCUCUAGCUGAAGGGUAGGGAGAUUGAAUAUGACUUCCUGGAACUGAAUAGCCCUGUACCGUUGUAUAACUGUGACCAACAGGGAUGUUUUGAUUCAGUUGCCCGUAUUGGUAGCCUGGUGAGUUAACUGCCCCAGGUACUCCAUAAACCUGAAGGUGCUUACAGUGACUCAAGAGGCCUUCUGGAAGCUAGGAAAGAGGUUGCUGAGUUCAUUGAAUGACUUGAUGGGUAUCCCAGUGAUCCAAAACUCAUAUUCUCCACUGAUGGAGCUAGCUAAGGUGUGAAACAAAUCUUAAACUGUGCUAUACGCAGUGAGGGAGACAUGCAAUAUGAAGAAGAGCAGGAGAGUGCAAGUGCCACCAAGAAGCUUCACCAGAAAAGGCAAUUCAUCACAAUUUAAGUAGAAAAAAUAUGAAGUAUGAUCAGAAGAAAUAAGGUGAUGAUGUGAUGAAUGCAUGUCUUAUAUGCCCUCAAGAGAUGGAUGCAGCAGAUCUAAGCUUCUUACCAUGUCCUUGCAGAUUUUGUCUAUAUCUCUUCUCCUCUAUGCAGAUCAACCAAAACGAUGGACGUAGCCCACGACUCUGAGCUUCCCCAAACAAGUAUGAGAAGACAAGUAGUAAAAGUGCUUUAUGUUUUAGUUAUUUCCUUAGUAUCUCAGUUGCACAUAGCAUGUUGUUUGUCAAUAGAGUUUGUGUCAGUGACGUUGUUGCAUCUUUUGAAACUUUAAAGCUUAAUAAAAGUGAAAGAUCGUUGAUAUGUUAUCGAUGAAGUCGAAUGAAUGUUGCUACCAUUUAUCUUUUUCUUUAAAAUCAAAUCAAAUGGGUUGAUUGUC